Molecule: non-coding RNA, 196 nt
Organism: Triticum aestivum (bread wheat)
Lineage: Eukaryota; Viridiplantae; Streptophyta; Magnoliopsida; Poales; Poaceae
Source: Rfam
AUACCUUUCUCGGCCUUUUGGCUAAAAUCAAGUGUAGUGUCUGUUCUUAUCAGUUUAAUAUUUGAUAUGUGGGCCAUGUGCCCAAAACGAUAUUAAAUUUAUUUUUUAUGGGGGAGGGUCCACCACAGUGGCUUGCCAUUGGGGCCCUCGGGUGUCGCCUGGACGUUGCACUACAGCCUAGGCAGGCGCACCCCAC